This 198-nucleotide ribosomal RNA is filed under the name uncultured bacterium. RNAcentral describes it as "partial 16S ribosomal RNA". It matches the Rfam family "Bacterial small subunit ribosomal RNA", at positions 335 to 524 of the family's 1533-position model. The record is from RNAcentral.
ACUCCUACGGGAGGCAGCAGUGGGGAAUAUUGCGCAAUGGGCGAAAGCCUGACGCAGCGACACCGCGUGGGGGAGGAAGGCCUCAGGGUUGUAAACCCCUGUCAGGUGGGACGAACAGCAGGUCGUCGAACAGGCGGCUUGUUUGACGGUACCACCAGAGGAAGCUCCGGCUAACUCCGUGCCAGCAGCCGCGGUAAU